CGAGUGGCGAACGGGUGAGUAAUACAUCGGAACGUGUCGAGAAGAGGGGGAUAACCACCCGAAAGGGUGGCUAAUACCGCAUAAAUUCUGAGGAAGAAAGCUGGGGACCUAGGAAUAGGCCUAGCGCUUUUUGAGCGGCCGAUGUCGGAUUAGCUAGUUGGUGAGGUAAAGGCUCACCAAGGCGAAGAUCUGUAGCGGGUCUGAGAGGAUGAUCCGCCACACUUGGACUGAGACACGGCCCAG
Molecule: ribosomal RNA, 243 nt
Filed under: uncultured Rhodocyclales bacterium
Lineage: Bacteria; Pseudomonadati; Pseudomonadota; Betaproteobacteria; Rhodocyclales
Description: partial 16S ribosomal RNA
Rfam family: Bacterial small subunit ribosomal RNA
Source: RNAcentral